RNAcentral lists this ribosomal RNA (830 nucleotides) under uncultured bacterium. RNAcentral describes it as "bacterial SSU rRNA". It matches the Rfam family "Bacterial small subunit ribosomal RNA", at positions 51 to 878 of the family's 1533-position model. The record is from RNAcentral.
ACACAUGCAAGUCGAGGGGCAGCAUGGUCUAGCAAUAGACUGAUGGCGACCGGCGCACGGGUGAGUAACACGUAUCCAACCUACCGGCUAUUCCGGGAUAGCCUUUCGGAAGAAAGAUUAAUACCGGAUAGUAUAGCGAGAAGGCAUCUUCUUGCUAUUAAAGAAUUUCGAUAACCGAUGGGGAUGCGUUCCAUUAGUUUGUUGGCGGGGUAACGGCCCACCAAGACAUCGAUGGAUAGGGGUUCUGAGAGGAAGGUCCCCCACAUUGGAACUGAGACACGGUCCAAACUCCUACGGGAGGCAGCAGUGAGGAAUAUUGGUCAAUGGACGAGAGUCUGAACCAGCCAAGUAGCGUGAAGGAUGACUGCCCUAUGGGUUGUAAACUUCUUUUAUAUGGGAAUAAAGUGAGCCACGUGUGGCUUUUUGUAUGUACCAUACGAAUAAGGAUCGGCUAACUCCGUGCCAGCAGCCGCGGUAAUACGGAGGAUCCGAGCGUUAUCCGGAUUUAUUGGGUUUAAAGGGAGCGUAGGCGGACUAUUAAGUCAGCUGUGAAAGUUUGCGGCUCAACCGUAAAAUUGCAGUUGAUACUGGUCGUCUUGAGUGCAGUAGAGGUAGGCGGAAUUCGUGGUGUAGCGGUGAAAUGCUUAGAUAUCACGAAGAACUCCGAUUGCGAAGGCAGCUUACUGGACUGUAACUGACGCUGAUGCUCGAAAGUGUGGGUAUCAAACAGGAUUAGAUACCCUGGUAGUCCACACAGUAAACGAUGAAUACUCGCUGUUUGCGAUAUACAGCAAGCGGCCAAGCGAAAGCAUUAAGUAUUCCACCUGGGG